Molecule: ribosomal RNA, 882 nt
Filed under: uncultured bacterium
Lineage: Bacteria
Description: bacterial SSU rRNA
Rfam family: Bacterial small subunit ribosomal RNA
Source: RNAcentral
AGAGUUUGAUCCUGGCUCAGAACGAACGCUGGCGGCGUGCUUAACACAUGCAAGUCGAGUGCGCGUGCCGUAGCAAUACGGUAUGGCGCACGGCGCACGGGUGCGUAACACGUGGGCAAUCUGCCCUCCGGUGGGGAAUAACCCCGCGAAAGCGGGGCUAAUUCCGCAUAACAUUCCCUGGACUCUGGUUCGGGGAUUCAAAGCAGCAAUGCGCCGGAGGAGGAGCCCGCGCCCGAUUAGCUAGUUGGUGAGGUGACGGCUCACCAAGGCAAUGAUCGGUAGCUGGUCUGAGAGGAUGGCCAGCCACACUGGAACUGAGACACGGUCCAGACUCCUACGGGAGGCAGCAGUGGGGAAUCUUGCGCAAUGGGCGAAAGCCUGACGCAGCGACGCCGCGUGGGGGAUGAAGCUUCUCGGAGUGUAAACCCCUUUCGACCGGGAAGAAUGCCCGCAAGGGAGUGACGGUACCGGUAGAAGAAGCCCCGGCUAACUACGUGCCAGCAGCCGCGGUAAGACGUAGGGGGCCAGCGUUGUUCGGAAUUACUGGGUGUAAAGGGUUCGUAGGCGGUGUGGCAAGUCGGGAGUGAAAUUUCUGGGCUUAACCCAGAAGCUGCUUCCGAAACUGCUGUGCUAGAGUGCGGGAGAGGCGCGUGGAAUUGCAGGUGUAGCGGUGAAAUGCGUAGAUAUCUGCAGGAACACCCGUGGCGAAAGCGGCGCGCUGGACCGUUACUGACGCUGAGGAACGAAAGCUAGGGGAGCAAACAGGAUUAGAUACCCUGGUAGUCCUAGCCCUAAACGAUCAGGACUUGGGGUGCCUUCCGUUCGGAAGUCGUCCCGGAGCUAACGCGUUAAGUCCUGCACCUGGGGAGUACGGUCGCAAGA